UAGGGAAUCUUCCGCAAUGGACGAAAGUCUGACGGAGCAACGCCGCGGGAGUGAAGAAGGAUUUCGGUUCGUAAAACUCUGUUGUUAGGGAAGAAAAAAUGUAUAGUAACUAUAUACAAAAGAGACGGUACCUAACCAGAAAGCCACGGCUAACUACGUGCCAGCAGCCGCGGUAAUACGUAGGUGGCAAGCGUUGUCCGGAAUUAUUGGGCGUAAAGCGCGCGCAGGUGGUUUAGAAAGUCUGAUGUGAAAGCCCACGGCUCAACCGUGGAGGGUCAUUUGAAACUAAUAAACUUGAGUGCAGGAGAGAAAAGUGGAAUUCCUAGUGUAGCGGUGAAAUGCGUAGAGAUUAGGAGGAACACCGGUGGCGAAAGCGGCUUUUUGGCCUGCAACUGACACUGAGGCGCGAAAGCGUGGGGAGCAAACAGG
RNAcentral lists this ribosomal RNA (429 nucleotides) under Verrucomicrobiota bacterium. RNAcentral describes it as "Verrucomicrobia bacterium partial 16S ribosomal RNA". It matches the Rfam family "Bacterial small subunit ribosomal RNA", at positions 355 to 776 of the family's 1533-position model. The record is from RNAcentral. Lineage: Bacteria; Pseudomonadati; Verrucomicrobiota.